Molecule: ribosomal RNA, 800 nt
Filed under: Acinetobacter sp. 2P1G6
Lineage: Bacteria; Pseudomonadati; Pseudomonadota; Gammaproteobacteria; Moraxellales; Moraxellaceae
Description: bacterial SSU rRNA
Rfam family: Bacterial small subunit ribosomal RNA
Source: RNAcentral
UGCAAGUCGAGCGGGGAGAUGUAGCUUGCUACAUUUUCUAGCGGCGGACGGGUGAGUAAUGCUUAGGAAUCUGCCUAUUAGUGGGGGACAACGUUUCGAAAGGAACGCUAAUACCGCAUACGCCCUACGGGGGAAAGCAGGGGCUCUUCGGACCUUGCGCUAAUAGAUGAGCCUAAGUCAGAUUAGCUAGUUGGUGGGGUAAAGGCCUACCAAGGCGACGAUCUGUAGCGGGUCUGAGAGGAUGAUCCGCCACACUGGGACUGAGACACGGCCCAGACUCCUACGGGAGGCAGCAGUGGGGAAUAUUGGACAAUGGGGGGAACCCUGAUCCAGCCAUGCCGCGUGUGUGAAGAAGGCCUUUUGGUUGUAAAGCACUUUAAGCGAGGAGGAGGCUCCUAUAGAUAAUACCUAUAGUGAGUGGACGUUACUCGCAGAAUAAGCACCGGCUAACUCUGUGCCAGCAGCCGCGGUAAUACAGAGGGUGCGAGCGUUAAUCGGAUUUACUGGGCGUAAAGCGUACGUAGGCGGCUUUUUAAGUCGGAUGUGAAAUCCCUGAGCUUAACUUAGGAAUUGCAUUCGAUACUGGGAAGCUAGAGUAUGGGAGAGGAUGGUAGAAUUCCAGGUGUAGCGGUGAAAUGCGUAGAGAUCUGGAGGAAUACCGAUGGCGAAGGCAGCCAUCUGGCCUAAUACUGACGCUGAGGUACGAAAGCAUGGGGAGCAAACAGGAUUAGAUACCCUGGUAGUCCAUGCCGUAAACGAUGUCUACUAGCCGUUGGGGCCUUUGAGGCUUUAGUGGCGCA